RNAcentral lists this ribosomal RNA (586 nucleotides) under Anaplasma phagocytophilum. RNAcentral's name for it is "bacterial SSU rRNA". It matches the Rfam family "Bacterial small subunit ribosomal RNA", at positions 825 to 1410 of the family's 1533-position model. The record is from RNAcentral. Lineage: Bacteria; Pseudomonadati; Pseudomonadota; Alphaproteobacteria; Rickettsiales; Anaplasmataceae. RNAcentral also lists the same sequence under 1 other name.
GGGAUAAUUUAUCUCUGUGUUGUAGCUAACGCGUUAAGCACUCCGCCUGGGGACUACGGUCGCAAGACUAAAACUCAAAGGAAUUGACGGGGACCCGCACAAGCGGUGGAGCAUGUGGUUUAAUUCGAUGCAACGCGAAAAACCUUACCACUCCUUGACAUGGAGAUUAGAUCCUUCUUAACGGAAGGGCGCAGUUCGGCUGGAUCUCGCACAGGUGCUGCAUGGCUGUCGUCAGCUCGUGUCGUGAGAUGUUGGGUUAAGUCCCGCAACGAGCGUAACCCUCAUCCUUAGUUGCCAGCGGGUUAAGCCGGGCACUUUAAGGAAACUGCCAGUGGUAAACUGGAGGAAGGUGGGGAUGAUGUCAAGUCAGCACGGCCCUUAUGGGGUGGGCUACACACGUGCUACAAUGGUGACUACAAUAGGUUGCAAUGUCGCAAGGCUGAGCUAAUCCGUAAAAGUCAUCUCAGUUCGGAUUGUCCUCUGCAACUCGAGGGCAUGAAGUCGGAAUCGCUAGUAAUCGUGGAUCAGCAUGCCACGGUGAAUACGUUCUCGGGUCUUGUACACACUGCCCGUCACGCCAUGGGAA